Molecule: ribosomal RNA, 427 nt
Filed under: uncultured bacterium
Lineage: Bacteria
Description: partial 16S ribosomal RNA
Rfam family: Bacterial small subunit ribosomal RNA
Source: RNAcentral
UGGGGAAUAUUGCACAAUGGGCGCAAGCCUGAUGCAGCCAUGCCGCGUGUGUGAAGAAGGCCUUCGGGUUGUAAAGCACUUUCAGCGAGGAGGAAGGGUAGUGUGUUAAUAGCACAUUGCAUUGACGUUACUCGCAGAAGAAGCACCGGCUAACUCCGUGCCAGCAGCCGCGGUAAUACGGAGGGUGCAAGCGUUAAUCGGAAUUACUGGGCGUAAAGCGCACGCAGGCGGUUUGUUAAGUCAGAUGUGAAAUCCCCGCGCUUAACGUGGGAACUGCAUUUGAAACUGGCAAGCUAGAGUCUUGUAGAGGGGAGUAGAAUUCCAGGUGUAGCGGUGAAAUGCGUAGAGAUCUGGAGGAAUACCGGUGGCGAAGGCGGCCCCCUGGACAAAGACUGACGCUCAGGUGCGAAAGCGUGGGGAGCAAACA